Molecule: ribosomal RNA, 600 nt
Filed under: uncultured Gammaproteobacteria bacterium
Lineage: Bacteria; Pseudomonadati; Pseudomonadota; Gammaproteobacteria
Description: bacterial SSU rRNA
Rfam family: Bacterial small subunit ribosomal RNA
Source: RNAcentral
CAUGCAAGUCGAGCGGUAACAGACAUUUUGAUUUUGCUUGCAAAAUCUCGUGCUGACGAGCGGCGAACGGGUGAGUAACGCGUAGGAAUCUACCUAGUAGAAGGGGAUAGCCCGAGGAAACUCGGAUUAAUACCGUAUACGUCCUUAGGGAGAAAGAGGGCUUAGCUUUGAUGCUCUCGCUAUUAGAUGAGCCUGCGUAAGAUUAGCUUGUUGGUGAGGUAAAGGCUCACCAAGGCGACGAUCUUUAGCUGGUCUGAGAGGACGAUCAGCCACAUUGGGACUGAGACACGGCCCAGACUCCUACGGGAGGCAGCAGUGGGGAAUAUUGGACAAUGGGCGCAAGCCUGAUCCAGCCAUACCGCGUGUGUGAAGAAGGCCUUCGGGUUGUAAAGCACUUUAAGUAAGGAAGAAAAGAGUAUUGUUAAUACCAAUACUCCGUGACAUUACUUACAGAAUAAGGACCGGCUAAUUCCGUGCCAGCAGCCGCGGUAAUACGGAAGGUCCAAGCGUUAAUCGGAAUUACUGGGCGUAAAGCGCGCGUAGGUGGUUUAUUAAGUUGGGUGUGAAAGCCCCGGGCUCAACCUGGGAACUGCAUCCAAA